This 275-nucleotide ribosomal RNA is filed under the name uncultured bacterium. RNAcentral describes it as "partial 16S ribosomal RNA". It matches the Rfam family "Bacterial small subunit ribosomal RNA", at positions 79 to 353 of the family's 1533-position model. The record is from RNAcentral.
CUAAGUUUGAUGGCGACCGGCGCACGGGUGAGUAACACGUAUCCAACCUGCCGAUGACUCGGGGAUAGCCUUUCGAAAGAAAGAUUAAUACCCGAUGGCAUAGUUCUUCCGCAUGGUAGAACUAUUAAAGAAUUUCGGUCAUCGAUGGGGAUGCGUUCCAUUAGGUUGUUGGCGGGGUAACGGCCCACCAAGCCUUCGAUGGAUAGGGGUUCUGAGAGGAAGGUCCCCCACAUUGGAACUGAGACACGGUCCAAACUCCUACGGGAGGCAGCAUA